RNAcentral lists this ribosomal RNA (216 nucleotides) under Glomeromycotina sp. RNAcentral describes it as "partial small subunit ribosomal RNA". The stretch from base 40 to 216 matches the Rfam family "Eukaryotic small subunit ribosomal RNA", at positions 686 to 864 of the family's 1831-position model. Lineage: Eukaryota; Fungi; Glomeromycota. The record is from RNAcentral.
GGGUCAGUAGGUUGGUCGUGCCACCGGUACGUACUGGUCUCACUGAUUCCUCCUUCCUGAAGAACCGUAAUGCCAUUAAUUUGGUGUUGCGGGGAAACAGGACUGUUACUUUGAAAAAAUUACAGUGUUUAAAGCAAGCUAACGCUUGAAUACAUUAGCAUGGAAUAAUGAAAUAGGACGAUCGAUCCUAUUUUGUUGGUUUCUAGGAUUGACGUA